AGUCGAGCGGCCCGCAAGGGGAGCGGGAGACGGAUGAGUAACACGUGGCAAUCUACCGUGGCCUACGGAAUAGCUCCGGGAAACUGGAAUUAAUACCGUAUACGCCCUACGGGGGAAAGAUUUAUCGGGGUAUGAUGAGCCCGCGUUGGAUUAGCUAUUUGGUGGGGUAAAGGCCUACCAAGGCGACGAUCCAUAGCUGGUCUGACAGGAUGAUCAGCCACAUUGGGACUGAGACACGGCCCAACCCUCCUACGGGAGGUAACAGUGGGGAAUAUUGGACAAUGGGCGCAAGCCUGAUCUAUCCAUGCCGCGGGAGUGAUGAAUGUCUUAGGAUUGUAAAGCUCUUUCACCGGAGAAGAUAAUGACUGCAUCCCGAGAAGAAGCCCCGGCUAACUUCUUGCCAGCAGCCGCGGUAAUACGAACGGGGCUAGCGUUGUUCGGAAUUACUGGGUGUAAAGCCGCACGUAGGCGGAUAUUUAAGCUCUGGGGUGAAAUCCCAGAGCUCACCUCUGGAACUGCCUUUGAUACUGGGUAUCUUGAUUAUGCAACAGGCGAGUGGAAUUCCGAGUGUAAAGGUGAUAUUCCCAUAUAUUCCGAGGAACACCCAUGGCGAACGCCGCUCCUUGGUCCAUUUACUGACCCUAAGGUGCGAAACCGUGGUGUGAGCAAACAGGAUCACAUACCCUGCUUGUCUCUCGUUCCUAAACUAUGAUUGUUACUCGUCGGGCAGUAUACUGUUUUGGGGC
Molecule: ribosomal RNA, 746 nt
Filed under: uncultured Alphaproteobacteria bacterium
Lineage: Bacteria; Pseudomonadati; Pseudomonadota; Alphaproteobacteria
Description: bacterial SSU rRNA
Rfam family: Bacterial small subunit ribosomal RNA
Source: RNAcentral